CCUACGGGGGGCUGCAGUGGGGAAUAUUGCGCAAUGGGGGAAACCCUGACGCAGCAACGCCGCGUGGGGGACGAAGGUUUUCGGAUUGUAAACCCCUGUCCUAUGGGACGAUAAUGACGGUACCAUAGGAGGAAGCCACGGCUAACUACGUGCCAGCAGCCGCGGUAAUACGUAGGUGGCAAGCGUUGUCCGGAAUUACUGGGCGUAAAGGGCGCGUAGGCGGUACCCUAAGUUAGAUGUGAAAACCCGAAGCUUAACUUCGGACCUGCAUUUAAAACUGGGGAACUCGAGUGUCGGAGAGGAAAGCGGAAUUCCAAGUGUAGCGGUGAAAUGCGUAGAUAUUUGGAGGAACACCAGUGGCGAAGGCGGCUUUCUGGACGAUAACUGACGCUGAGGCGCGAAAGCGUGGGGAGCAAACAGGAUUAGAUACCCCAGUAGUC
RNAcentral lists this ribosomal RNA (440 nucleotides) under uncultured Gracilibacteraceae bacterium. RNAcentral's name for it is "bacterial SSU rRNA". It matches the Rfam family "Bacterial small subunit ribosomal RNA", at positions 338 to 795 of the family's 1533-position model. Lineage: Bacteria; Bacillati; Bacillota; Clostridia; Eubacteriales; Gracilibacteraceae. The record is from RNAcentral.